Molecule: transfer RNA, 75 nt
Filed under: Clostridium disporicum
Lineage: Bacteria; Bacillati; Bacillota; Clostridia; Eubacteriales; Clostridiaceae
Description: tRNA-Gly(ccc)
Rfam family: tRNA
About the family: Transfer RNA (tRNA) molecules are approximately 80 nucleotides in length.
Source: RNAcentral
GCGGAAGUGACUCAACGGUAGAGUGUCACCUUCCCAAGGUGAAGGUUGCGGAUUCGAAUCCCGUUUUCCGCUCCA